This 250-nucleotide ribosomal RNA is filed under the name uncultured bacterium. RNAcentral describes it as "partial 16S ribosomal RNA". It matches the Rfam family "Bacterial small subunit ribosomal RNA", at positions 524 to 772 of the family's 1533-position model. The record is from RNAcentral.
AACGUAGGGGGCGAGCGUUGUCCGGAAUUACUGGGCGUAAAGGGCGUGUAGGCGGUCUAAUAAGUCUCGAGGUGAAAACUUACGGCUCAACCGUAAGCGUGCCUGAGAAACUGUUGGACUUGAGGGCAGGAGAGGGGAGUGGAAUUCCCAGUGUAGCGGUGAAAUGCGUAGAUAUUGGGAGGAACACCGGUGGCGAAGGCGGCUCUCUGGCCUGUUACUGACGCUGAGGCGCGAAAGCGUGGGGAGCGAA